Long non-coding RNA from Motacilla alba alba, 968 nucleotides. RefSeq lists it as uncharacterized. Lineage: Eukaryota; Metazoa; Chordata; Aves; Passeriformes; Motacillidae. The transcript has 3 exons. The record is from RefSeq and is a predicted model, not a curated record.
AAAAAGUGAAAUCUGGCACUUGGCAGAGCCAGAAGGAAACAUCUGGAUGCUUUUGAUCAAAGAUGCGUGAGGAAAAUGAGACUGCAGAGCAUCAAGAAUGGCACAGUUUGAGAAAGAGAAAGGAAGAAUGAAACUCUCCCCAGCAGAAGUUGGCAGUUUGGGAGGGGAUGUUGUCCCCUGCAAUGUGGCCCUGCUCCUCUGGUCUCCAGCUCAGGAUGCUGCCUGAGAAUACUGCACAGCCUCUCUUCUGGCUGCAGAGAAGGGUGAGGAGAGGACAAAACCUGCACCUGGCUCUUCAGCAGCACGAGGCACCUGGGCACAGGUGAAACGUUGGACAAAUCAUGGAAGCUGGAGCAGGAGCACAUCAGUGAUGGAGGAGCCACAGAGGGGCCUCAAGGCAGCCCUGCCACCUGAUGGAAAACCAGCCACAGCUCUUCAGCUGCUGGAGCAAAUGAAAAAUCCCCUCUCAGAGACACCACUGGAUGAUGUGGGAUGGACAGCUCAGGCCAUCAGUGCUUACAUUUUUGGCCACAUCCACCUCCAUGCUUUUCUAGGAACACCCACUUGGACACUUGGCUGCAGCAACAGCAGUGAGAGCUCUCACAAGGAGAGAAGUGUGGAUUUGGAUUCCCCAGAAGCACAAGUUUGCCUGCCUUGAUAGUUUUUAAUGUGUUUUAUUUUUGCUUUUCGUGUCUGAUAGAAUUGUUGAAAUGAGUGAUGUCGUGCAGCAAACUUUGGGAUGCCUAGGGCAGCGCUCAGACACGCUGAGUGGAAAUAUUAAAAACCUGUCAGAUGGGAAAGGGCUCCUACCUUUCUAAACUGCCAAUGUUUUAUACACUGCCAGAAACACCUCUGCUGCUCCUGUGCUACCUCAGCUGGUACUGAUGAAAUUUGGUUUUCACUCACCCAGCUCCAGUCGUUGCUUAAGGGCCUGAAGGAGAUGAUUACUUAAGUCAGGGAGCAAUUUA